RNAcentral lists this long non-coding RNA (1784 nucleotides) under Sorghum bicolor (sorghum). RNAcentral's name for it is "long non-coding RNA (SBIC_LNC017480)". The record is from RNAcentral. Lineage: Eukaryota; Viridiplantae; Streptophyta; Magnoliopsida; Poales; Poaceae.
GGUGCAGCUGCUACAGGGGAGUCCAUCCAGUUCUCAUCAUCAUCAUCCACCUCUGUCACCAUCGCUGGGUCCUCUUCCUCCAUGGGGACGGUCUCGUUGUCGGAGAUGUCCACCACUGGCUGGGACGACUGGGGCGUGAACUGAGAGAUGUAGCUCCUGGUGCUGGCACGGCGAGACCUCGUGACAGGCGGCAUCUAUAAAUUUUAUUUUAAGAUUAGAUCAACAUUUUGGCAAUAGAAUAAGUGAUAUAAGCAUGAUAAAUUUUAUAAAAUAACAAAAAGUAAGGUAGAAAGCAUUAAAUAAAUAAAACAAAAACACUAUAUCGACCAUUGCUACCUAGGCUUGCGUCCUACAGUCAACACGGCUUUGAUACCAAUUUGUCACACCCAAUUUCAAGGAAGAAAUUGAAUGCAUAAACUUAUGUGCGCCCAGAGAUCAAUCACACACAUAAGUCACAAAUUAAAUACCAUCAUCGCAGUGUUUACAACAAACGUAGUUAUUACAUCACAAAGUCUGGCAUAACAGCGGAAAUAUAAAUAUGAUAAUCUAAGAUAACUAUCUCAUGGCCCUCACACAGGGAAGGUCGACUGGUGAAGCACAAGCCUAAUAGUCCUCAGGGUAGUCCUCAUAGCCACCACCAUCUGUUACCCAUCCGGGAUUUUUAUCCAAGAAAAGAAAUAUACAAGCGUGAGUACAUCUCGUACUCCACAAGCAUAGCAUGAGGAUUUAUGAGGCUCAAACAGGCUAAACUAGGUUCACUGCAUCAGCUUUUAGUAGGUCAGUUUUUUAUCAUUAAUUAUUAUAGUUUAUGCUUAAGCUCCCAAAUAUCCCAUAUGAUCAGUUAUUAGAACCAUAGAAAGUCAUUAAGUCACAUUAAAGCAUAAUUAUACAUCAUCAAGUACCAUAUAGCCAUCAGUAACCAGUUAUUCUGUGAGUUUUCCGGGCCGCUCGUGACCGUGUGCACGGCUGUUAUAACAGUUAUACACUCUGCAGAGGUUGUCCACUUUCACCGUGAGUCGUGUUGCCCAUAUGCCCGGGAUCCGUCGACCCCCAAACACUACCAAGGUGAGCGGGCAGGGUACACUAUGAAGCCUUCCAUAGGCCUAUUCUAACCAGUUAGGGCCGCGAGGUUUCCUCGGCAGACAGAUGUAGAAAACCCCCCUUUCCUAUGGCACAUUUCCAUCGCGGCUAUACUCAUAGAAACAGGGGCAGCCCUACACCCAAAGUGGCAAGCGCCUCUUGCGCCCUUUCGGGUAACCUCUAACGAGUUAGAAAAGGUCCUAUUACUGAGCUAAAGUCAGAGCCAUAUGACUCUCCCGGUUGCACGGUAAGUCCCAGCUUUUGCCGACACAUAAGUCCUUACGGAGGGUCUAGGACAACCUGACCAACAGUCAUUUGUACCAUAGCCCUAUGUUCCAUUUAUUAUAAUCAUGUUUAAUCAAUCAACCAUGGUUCUAUCACUGAUUUCAGAUUAUAUAUAAUUGGAGUUAGAGCACUAGCACUUCUACCCAUAUGCAAUAAAAACCCUUGGGAACAAGGUAAUUGUCAUCAACAGCUAGGAUGUCCUUAUAGUUUGCAAUAUUAUACACAUGCAGGGUGAAAUGCUUAAAAAUGAGUAGGACAACAAGGUAGGCCCAUGCUAUACUUGCCUUGAUUCACGUACUCCUGCUGGUCUUGCUGGUCCUGCUGAUCCCCAAAGAGCUCCGGACUCCCGAAAUACUCCUCACCGUCUGGGCUCGAUCAAUACAUCACAAUCAUCACGCAUACCAAGACAAACAUGCAAG